CGUUUACUCACUGUUCGGGCGUGUGCCAGCCAUGGCGCGCUACUGCGCGGUCGUGCUGCUCGUCAUGGCCGUGGUGGCCGUCAUCUACGUUGUCGUCAUGCACCUCGUCUCCUCGUGCGACAUCCUGUGCGAUAAUGACGAGCAAGCACCAAAUGAAAACUAUGGGAGGACACCAAACAACGCUUCACUGGACACAUAAACUGAAGAAUAAAUGGAAUGUGAAACAGGAUUCCUGUAAGAUACAGGAUUCUUACAAAUUACAAUAUUUUGUAUUUUAUUUAAAGAUGUUCGUUAAUGUAACUGUAUUUUUUUUACGAUACAGUUCAUGUUACCGUUUUGUGUGUUCUUAUAGAAACGAAGUGAAUAUUAAAACCAAAGUUAUAAAGUGGCUAAAAACUGUAAUUUAUUCAGUCACGCUUAUAAAAGACUUACGAUUCACUUGUUUAAAAGCAAGAAAUCUGUUUGUCUUCAAUUAUUCUUUCUUCAGGCUUGUGUCUUUCUGUUCUAUGAGCUUGUAAUGUACACAUGUAUGAGUUAUUACCUGUCAUUGAAAUGAAAUAGAUCAUAUUUUAAUCUUAA
Molecule: long non-coding RNA, 579 nt
Organism: Schistocerca gregaria
Lineage: Eukaryota; Metazoa; Arthropoda; Insecta; Orthoptera; Acrididae
Exons: 2
Source: RefSeq, a predicted model, not a curated record